This 497-nucleotide ribosomal RNA is filed under the name uncultured bacterium. RNAcentral's name for it is "partial 16S ribosomal RNA". It matches the Rfam family "Bacterial small subunit ribosomal RNA", at positions 28 to 507 of the family's 1533-position model. The record is from RNAcentral.
GAUGAACGCUGGCGGCGUGCCUAAUACAUGCAAGUCGAGCGAACAGACGAGGAGCUUGCUCCUCUGACGUUAGCGGCGGACGGGUGAGUAACACGUGGAUAACCUACCUAUAAGACUGGGAUAACUUCGGGAAACCGGAGCUAAUACCGGAUAAUAUAUUGAACCGCAUGGUUCAAUAGUGAAAGACGGUUUUGCUGUCACUUAUAGAUGGAUCCGCGCCGCAUUAGCUAGUUGGUAAGGUAACGGCUUACCAAGGCGACGAUGCGUAGCCGACCUGAGAGGGUGAUUGGCCACACUGGAACUGGGACACGGUCCAGACUCCUACGGGAGGCAGCAGUAGGGAAUCUUCCGCAAUGGGCGAAAGCCUGACGGAGCAACGCCGCGUGAGUGAUGAAGGUCUUCGGAUCGUAAAACUCUGUUAUUAGGGAAGAACAAAUGUGUAAGUAACUAUGCACGUCUUGACGGUACCUAAUCAGAAAGCCACGGCUAACUACGUG